CAAAGAUAAUGAACAUAUGGGUGGAGGGACAAAGACUUUGUGCUAAUUGUCAUGUUCUGAUG
This 62-nucleotide small nucleolar RNA is filed under the name Ochotona princeps (American pika). Its description in RNAcentral is "Small nucleolar RNA SNORD43 (ENSOPRG00000020231.1)". It matches the Rfam family "Small nucleolar RNA SNORD43". From Rfam's summary of the family: U43 is a C/D box small nucleolar RNA that is encoded in intron 1 of the ribosomal protein L3 gene in human and cow. Three other snoRNAs ( U82, U83a and U83b) are also encoded in the same host gene but from different introns. The rice homologue is expressed from a cluster also containing snoR16. The record is from RNAcentral. Lineage: Eukaryota; Metazoa; Chordata; Mammalia; Lagomorpha; Ochotonidae.